AUUGAACGCUGGCGGCAGGCCUAACACAUGCAAGUCGAGCGGUUGAGGUAGCUUGCUACCGAUACAGCGGCGGACGGGUGAGUAAUACAUGGGAAUCUGCCUGGUAGUGGGGGACAACGUUUCGAAAGGAACGCUAAUACCGCAUACGCCCUACGGGGGAAAGGGGGGGAUCUUCGGACCUCUCGCUAUCAGAUGAGCCCAUGUCAGAUUAGCUUGUUGGUGAGGUAAAGGCUCACCAAGGCGACGAUCUGUAACUGGUCUGAGAGGAUGAUCAGUCACACUGGAACUGAGACACGGUCCAGACUCCUACGGGAGGCAGCAGUGGGGAAUAUUGGACGAUGGGCGCAAGCCUGAUCCAGCCAUGCCGCGUGUGUGAAGAAGGCCUUAGGGUUGUAAAGCACUUUCAGUGGGGAGAAAGGCCUUUUACUUAAUACGUAAGAGGAUUGAUGUUACCCACAGAAGAAGCACCGGCUAACUCCGUGCCAGCCGCCGCGGUAA
This 498-nucleotide ribosomal RNA is filed under the name uncultured bacterium. RNAcentral describes it as "partial 16S ribosomal RNA". It matches the Rfam family "Bacterial small subunit ribosomal RNA", at positions 30 to 523 of the family's 1533-position model. The record is from RNAcentral.